This 468-nucleotide ribosomal RNA is filed under the name uncultured bacterium. Its description in RNAcentral is "partial 16S ribosomal RNA". It matches the Rfam family "Bacterial small subunit ribosomal RNA", at positions 28 to 507 of the family's 1533-position model. The record is from RNAcentral.
GACGAACGCUGGCGGCGUGCUUAACACAUGCAAGUCGAACGGAAAGGCCCUGCGUUUGUGGGGUUCUCGAGUGGCGAACGGGUGAGUAACACGUGAGUAACCUGCCCUUGACUUUGGGAUAACUUCAGGAAACUGUGGCUAAUAUCGGAUAGGAGCUGCUGCUGCAUGGUGGGGGGUGGAAAGUUUCGGCGGUUGGGGAUGGACUGGCGGCUUAUCAGCUUGUUGGUUGGGUAGUGGCUUACCCAGGCUUUGACGGGUAGCCGGCCUGAGAGGGUGACCGGCCACAAUGGGACUGAGAUACGGACCAGAGUCGUACGGGAGGCAGCAGUGGGGAAUAUUGCACAAUGGGAGGACGCCUGAUGCAGCAACGCCGCGUGCGGGAUGACGGCCUUCGGGUUGUAAACCGCUUUAGCCUGUGACGCAGCGUGAGUGACGGUAAUGGGUAAAGAAGCACCGGCUAACUACGUG